AGGACGAACGCUGGCGGCGUGCUUAACACAUGCAAGUCGAGCGGAAAGGCCCUUCGGGGUACUCGAGCGGCGAACGGGUGAGUAACACGUGAGCAAUCUGCCCUUAGCUUCGGGAUAGCUCCGGGAAACCGGAUUAAUACCGAAUAUGACUUCGGCCGACAUCGGCCUUGGUGGAAAGUUUUUCGGCUAGGGAUGAACUCGCGGCCUAUCAGCUUGUUGGUGGGGUAAUGGCCUACCAAGGCGACGACGGGUAGCCGGCCUGAGAGGGCGACCGGCCACACUGGGACUGAGACACGGCCCAGACUCCUACGGGAGGCAGCAGUGGGAAUAUUGCGCAAUGGGCGAAAGCCUGACGCAGCGACGCCGCGUGGGGGAUGAAGGCCUUCGGGUUGUAAACCCCUUUCAGCAGGGACGAAGCGAAAGUGACGGUACCUGCAGAAGAAGCGCCGGCUAACUACGCGCCAGCAGCCGC
Molecule: ribosomal RNA, 472 nt
Filed under: uncultured bacterium
Lineage: Bacteria
Description: SSU rRNA
Rfam family: Bacterial small subunit ribosomal RNA
Source: RNAcentral